Molecule: long non-coding RNA, 1149 nt
Filed under: Olea europaea subsp. europaea
Lineage: Eukaryota; Viridiplantae; Streptophyta; Magnoliopsida; Lamiales; Oleaceae
Source: RNAcentral
CCCCAAAAAUAACAUAUUGCCGUAAUGGCUUACACCCUUAUUUUAAAAAAUUAACUAGAAUUUAGAUAAUUAAUAAACCAAAAAGAUAAUGACAAAAAUUAAAAGCCAUAAUAUUCAUAAUUCAACCAAAAUAAAUGGAAUUAAAAUUCAAUUUUAUUUAAUAAAAGCUCAAUCUUCACAAUGCUCCUCCGAUUGAUCUAGAUUUGUCAUCUUGCAUUGUGUUCUUCAUCCAACACCCUAGUAAUGAAGUAUUUUACUUGCUCUCUAUAAAAAUAAACUUUGUAAUUAUAUAUGGACCUAAAUGUUCUAAAUUAAAUAAUAAUUAGUGAAUGAUCAUUGUAUCCCUAUGGUCCAAAUUAUUAUAACAAUUAUUCCUUGCACCUUUAUUUUUUUAACAUAAAUAUAGAAAUUUAAUUCUCAAUAAAAUAUGCACAUAAGGGAAAUAGAAAUAGGACAAAAUUCCUAGCCAUUUCUACCAUUUGUUCUCAUCAUACCACUUUGCCACCUAAUUCGUGAUGCAUGACGAGAUUCCUUUACCACUCUAUAAAUGGCUGGGUGAAUUCUCGUCGAGGGCAAAUAGGCUUUUUUAGUUUUGUUUCAUCAAAAGUUGUCAUUGAAGAGGCUAAUGCUGCUGCUCAGCUUAAAAGAAUUUCCUUUUAUUCACGCAAGCAUUCCCACCUUAGUCACCGAUUUCUAAGGAGGAUUGACAAAUCAAAUUUGGCCUUGACAUGAUGGAUGAGUUAGAGAAUUAAUUGAGUUCAUAAGGAAAAUCUUCUUUUCAUUUAAAGAAAAUGUAAGUAUUCUCUCAACUUUGAGUUAUAAAACAAAGUGGUAAAUAUUUUUUUAGUUAUACCGAUUGAUAGGGCUCUUGGCAAUAUUACAAAAAAUAUUGUAUUACUAGAAAAUUCUACUUGUACAUAAUUAUUACACAUAAUUGUGUCCAUAAUAUGAUGUGGCAAUUAUCUGAUUGUUGAUGUGCAAGUGUGAGAUUUGUAUUAAAGGUUACAUCCAAUGCCACAUGUAAUUCUGAAUAUCAUUAAGUAAACAAUUAUGUACAUGUAACACUUCCCUUGUAUUACUACUCUUGAAAUAGUAUAAAUAUAAAAUCAAUAUUCAAGAAGAAAUUAUUAUUUAAAAAACAUUUAUUUC